RNAcentral lists this ribosomal RNA (253 nucleotides) under uncultured bacterium. Its description in RNAcentral is "partial 16S ribosomal RNA". It matches the Rfam family "Bacterial small subunit ribosomal RNA", at positions 524 to 776 of the family's 1533-position model. The record is from RNAcentral.
GACAGAGGGUGCAAACGUUGUUCGGAAUUACUGGGCGUAAAGCGUGCGUAGUCGGUUAUCUAAGUCGGAUGUGAAAUCCCCGGGCUCAACCUGGGAAUUGCAUUCGAUACUGGAUAGCUAGAGUUCGGCAGAGGGAAGUGGAAUUUCGGGUGUAGCGGUGAAAUGCGUAGAUAUCCGAAGGAACAUCAGUGGCGAAAGCGACUUCCUGGACCAGAACUGACGAUCAGGCACGAAAGCGUGGGGAGCAAACAGG